Molecule: microRNA precursor, 148 nt
Filed under: Gossypium hirsutum (cotton)
Lineage: Eukaryota; Viridiplantae; Streptophyta; Magnoliopsida; Malvales; Malvaceae
Description: miR162a stem-loop (ghr-MIR162a)
Gene: ghr-MIR162a
Rfam family: MIR162_1 microRNA precursor family (bases 14-124)
Source: miRBase by way of RNAcentral
UUUUUAGCGUUGGGGUAAAGACACUGGAGGCAGCGGUUCAUCGAUCUCUUCCUGAGAAUUUUGUUGUGAGAAUAACACAAAUACAUGAAUCGAUCGAUAAACCUCUGCAUCCAGCGCCUUAACUCUCCAUGAAGUUUUAUGUUAGUUA